Molecule: ribosomal RNA, 462 nt
Filed under: uncultured Glomus
Lineage: Eukaryota; Fungi; Glomeromycota; Glomeromycetes; Glomerales; Glomeraceae
Description: SSU rRNA
Rfam family: Eukaryotic small subunit ribosomal RNA
Source: RNAcentral
AGCAGCCGCGGUAAUUCCAGCUCCAAUAGCGUAUAUUAAAGUUGUUGCAGUUAAAAAGCUCGUAGUUGAAUUUCGGGAUCAAUAUGUUGGUCGUGCCUCGGUACGUACUAGCUUAUUGGUUUCUCCUUUCUGAAGAACCAUGAUGUCAUUUAUUUGGUGUCGUGGGGAAUCAGGACUGUUACUUUGAAAAAAUUAGAGUGUUUAAAGCAGGCUCACGCUUGAAUACAUUAGCAUGGAAUAAUGAAAUAGGACGUUUGAUUCUAUUUUGUUGGUUUUUAGGAUCGACGUAAUGAUUAAUAGGGAUAGUUGGGGGCAUUAGUAUUCAAUUGUCAGAGGUGAAAUUCUUGGAUUUAUUGAAGACUAACUACUGCGAAAGCAUUUGCCAAGGAUGUUUUCAUUAAUCAAGAACGAAAGUUAGGGGAUCGAAGACGAUCAGAUACCGUCGUAGUCUUAACCAUAAAC